CAGUAGCCGCGGUAAUACGAAGGGUGCAAGCGUUAAUCGGAUUUACUGGGCGUAAAGCGUGCGUAGGCGGCUUUUUAAGUCGGAUGUGAAAUCCCUGAGCUUAACUUAGGAAUUGCAUUCGAUACUGGGAAGCUAGAGUAUGGGAGAGGAUGGUAGAAUUCCAGGUGGAGCGGUGAAAUGCGUAGAGAUCUGGAGGAAUACCGAUGGCGAAGGCAGCCAUCUGGCCUAAUACUGACGCUGAGGUACGAAAGCAUGGGGAGCAAACAGGAUUAGAGACCCCAGUAGUCCCUGUCUCUUAUAC
This 301-nucleotide ribosomal RNA is filed under the name uncultured bacterium. RNAcentral describes it as "partial 16S ribosomal RNA". It matches the Rfam family "Bacterial small subunit ribosomal RNA", at positions 509 to 807 of the family's 1533-position model. The record is from RNAcentral.